UCCUCUACGGACCAUGAGAAAAUGAUUUACCGGUAGGUAUAUUAAAAUCCUAUUUAUUUGUAUAGCGCUCUUUCUCCGAUAGGACUCAAGGCACUUAACAGAUACAUAGCAUGAUAUAGUACAGAAAAUAAUGAAGUACAGAACAGCUUUUCAUAAAAUACAGAAGCAUGUAGAUAAUAAAGGGACAUUAUGGGAAUGCUUGAGUAAACAGUAAAGUCUUGAGUCUACUUUUGAAGGAUUCUAUAGUUGGGGCCUCUCGCUCUGUGCGGGGAAGUGAGUUUCAUAGAGUUGGAGCCACAUGACUAAACGCUCGACCCCCAGAUGAAUUACGGGAGAUUCUAGGUACUGCUAAAAGUCCUUCAUCUACAGAUCGCAGUAAUCGAGUGGGGCAGUAUGGGCUCAAAAGCUGCUUCAUGUACUUUGGGCCCUGGUCAUGUAGUGCUUUGAACCUCGGUAAGCCAAUCUUGAAGAUGAUUCGUCAUCUUACAGGCAGCCAGUGAAGGGAGUGGGAGUACGGGUGUUAUGUGGCUAGAACGGGGCUGGUCGGUUAACAGCCUGGCAGCUGUGUUUUGCACCAGCUGUAAGCAGUACAAUUCUUUUGCUGGGAGACCAAGGUAGAGGGCAUUACAGUAGUCUAAUCGAGAUGUUACAAAUGAAUGGAUGACUUUUGGCAGAUCAUCUGAGGCAAUUAAGUGCUUGAUUCUAGCUAUGUUCCUCAGGUGAAAGAAUGAGGAUUAGAUUGUGGCUGAUAUCUGAUGUUUAAGUGUCAAGCCACCAUCCAGGACAACACCAAGAUUCCGCACACUAUCAGUGGUUUUUAAUUCUGAAUCCCCGAGUUUAAGUCCAGUUGGUUGGCUAUGCAGCAGUCUUGUCCUUUGAUGUUGCGGUCCUAUCAUAAGGACCUCUGUUUUGUCCAGGUUCAGUCGCAGCCAACUGGCACUCAUCAAGUCCUGGAGUUCAGCUAGACAGCCAUUUAGGGUUGCUAUUGGGUUAUCCGUGCCGGGAGCAAAGGACAAGUACAGUUGUGUAUCAUCUGCAUAGCAGUGGUAGACUAGCCCAUGGCGCCUGAUUAUUUCAUCCAGCGGUAGCAUGUAUACUGCAAAAAGCAUAUAUAUAUAAUCUAUCCCAAAAGAAAUACCUACUGUAUAGGCACUCAGAGACAGCAAUGAAGCAUUGCCGGCUUAUUGUGAUGAUUACAUACUGUAUACUGUGUGUGUGUGUGUGUGUGUGUGUGUGUGUAUGUAUGUAUGUAUAUAUAUAUAUAUAUAUAUUACUCUGUAUAUACUGUAAUGUAUGUACAGUUUAAUGUAUACAGUAGGUAUAUAAUACAGUAUACUGCACAUACAGUCUACUGUAUAUACAGUAAUCUCUUUCAUUACUGUAUCUGAUUCAUUAUUUUUGGCUCUUCACAGGAUAUCUCCCAUGAUAAUAAAGAAAAGAGAGUGGAACAGGCACGGCGAUGGAUUGAGAGUGGUGAAACAUUUCAUGAUGUCAUUUUCACAGAUGAAUCGUCUGUUGCCCUUGAGCGGUUCUCCAGAAUGUCAUUCCGGAAACGUAACCAUAUAUCAUUAAAACCACGCCCAAAGCAUCCAUUGAAAGUCCAUGUAUGGGGAGGCAUAAUACGAUUAGGAGCUGGUCCCCUAUUAUUUUUCGAAGGGAUCAUGGAUAAGACAUUUUUCCAAGAAACAAUAGUAGAGGGAUGUAUGGUGCCAUUUGUGAAUAAAUAUUACCCAACUCACCAUAGGAUAUUCCAAGACAAUGACCCUAAACACUCCGCCUCUGCCAAAUUUAUGGAAGAGAAAGGUAUGAAUUGGGAAUGCACACCACCAGAAUCACCAGACAUGAAUCCAAUUGAAUUAGUGUGGGCUCAAUUGAAGAGGUACAUUAGGAGUGUUACAAAGCCAACAACAAAACAGCAGCUGUUGGAUGGGAUAAAGAAAUUUUGGCUAGAAGUACUCACACCUGAACAUUGUAAUAAUUAUAUAAAUCACCUGUAUAAAGUAUUACUUGUUAUAGUCGAAAGAAAUGGUCAAGCCACAAAUAUGUA
This is a long non-coding RNA of Pseudophryne corroboree (corroboree frog), 2047 nucleotides long. RefSeq lists it as uncharacterized. Lineage: Eukaryota; Metazoa; Chordata; Amphibia; Anura; Myobatrachidae. The transcript is spliced from 3 exons. The record is from RefSeq and is a predicted model, not a curated record.